AAAUUGAAGAGUUUGAUCAUGGCUCAGAUUGAACGCUGGCGGCAGGCCUAACACAUGCAAGUCGAGCGGAAACGAGUUAUCUGAACCUUCGGGGAACGAUAGCGGCGUCGAGCGGCGGACGGGUGAGUAAUGCCUAGGAAAUUGCCCUGAUGUGGGGGAUAACCAUUGGAAACGAUGGCUAAUACCGCAUGAUGCCCAGGGGGCAAAGAGGGGGAGCUUCGGGCCUUUCACGUCAGGGUAUGGCUGGG
Molecule: ribosomal RNA, 248 nt
Filed under: Vibrio parahaemolyticus
Lineage: Bacteria; Pseudomonadati; Pseudomonadota; Gammaproteobacteria; Vibrionales; Vibrionaceae
Description: partial 16S ribosomal RNA
Rfam family: Bacterial small subunit ribosomal RNA
Source: RNAcentral